This is a long non-coding RNA of Panicum virgatum (switchgrass), 1013 nucleotides long. RefSeq lists it as uncharacterized. The record is from RefSeq and is a predicted model, not a curated record. The transcript has 3 exons. Lineage: Eukaryota; Viridiplantae; Streptophyta; Magnoliopsida; Poales; Poaceae.
GAUGAUGAAUCCCGUCCGGACCUGCACUUAGCUGCCAGCAGUGGCGACGACAGCGAGGCGGGGAUGUCGCAGAGGUCGCGCUCGCGCUUGGCCCCGGCGCGAGGCGACUCCGCGUCCGCCGCCGCCGGCGACUCCUCGGGGACUCCGCCCGCGACGAAUCCGAGCUGCAGUAGCCGUUCUCCGCCGACGACAUGGGUAGAUCCCUGGCUCGCUCGCUCGCUCGCCGCCGCCUCCUCGGUGCCCACGCCCGCCCGGCCGGAGCAGCGCACGGAGCCCCGCCUCGCCUCGCCUCCCCCCAACGCCCGCGGCUCCGGAUGGCUCCUCGUCAUGGAUCCUCGUCUGAUGGGCAUUGAGUAGGCAUCCGGGAGGGUGUUGUUCGUGGUGCUGCGAGGCCUCCCUUGGAGGCGUGCAGGCCAACCUCGUUGAGAUCCCGAGUGAGGGCGACCAUGACACGCGGGUCUCCCUCCUAGGCCUCCCAUCGCUAUCCGUCGCCAAGUUGAUGCAAGAUGAAGGGUUGUGUGCCAUAGAGGGAUUUCCAGGAGUUUCAGUUUUUCAGGUUUAAAUAGUUUCACCUAAUUUGCAAUUUAUUUACAUAAGAGAUCACUUGUUGGUAUUAUUAUUUCAGGGCAACUUGCUUAGGGAUGCAGCUUCAGUUAGUUCAGCUAUAUGAACAUGCUGAGGGGACAUGUAUACUGAGUGCCAUCAAGUUCAGAACCAAACUUUGAUGCUGCUGGUUCAUUCUCUUGAUGAAACCUAUCUUUUGUUGUUUCUGUUCUAUUUUGUUGUCUUGAGCCUGUAACUAGUUCUGAUACAUGGAAAAAAUUGUAUGUGAUCCAUUAUUUUGGUGUCAUACUGGAUGCAAACAUUAUUGAUAUGAGGUUAUAAUUGGGGCUGUAAUUGCUUAUCGUGACUUCUAGGCUGGAAAUUUUGUUUUGGUUAAUGGGUUGUGUAUAAAGCCGAAUUUGGUUAGCUAAUAAUAAAUCUUGGGCUGAAAUCAGGCCUACUUUGAAUUA